AGCCCGUGAAUCUGGGCGGCGAAAUUCAGGAUGACUGGCCGGCCUUGUGCAUGUUKGUCGUUUGAAGUUUUCGUCGCCGUGUCAGACGUCGCGAUCUGUUCGUUGUCGGUCCCUGCUCGGAGGAAUUGCGAUCGAGUUUGUUGUGGGCGCGUUUCGGCGUGUCAUACGGCAAAGACGCGAAUCUCUGGCCGAUAGCGGACAGUAAGCAGUGGUAGCUGAUGCUGUGUCACGUGCACAGUGUUGGUACCGAUCAGCGACGAUUUCUUCGGGCCUCUUUCCGACCCGUCUUGAAACACGGACCAAGGAGUCUAACAUGCGCGCGAGUCGCGGGGUAUCGAGUGUACUACGGUGCGCUCGGUCAUUAUGAAACCCGUAUGUUGAAGGCGUAAUGAAAGUGAACAGGGAAGAUGGUGUUCCGAGUAUACGUACCGUGAAAAUUURCGGCCGGACACCCGCAUUCCCGGGGCGUCUUAAUGAUUCAUCGUGAAUGCGGAUUGUCGUCUCUCGGGGUGGCAGUCGGUUUGCGAUGGUCAAAGGCGCACCUAGAGCGUGCACGUUGGUACCCGAAAGAUGGUGAACUAUGCCUGGCCAGGAUGAAGUCAGGGGAAACCCUGAUGGAGGUCCGCAGCGAUUCUGACGUGCAAAUCGAUCGUCUGAGCUGGGUAUAGGGGCGAAAGACUAAUCGAACCAUCUAGUA
Molecule: ribosomal RNA, 697 nt
Filed under: Lepidosaphes punicae
Lineage: Eukaryota; Metazoa; Arthropoda; Insecta; Hemiptera; Diaspididae
Description: partial 28S ribosomal RNA
Source: RNAcentral